CACUAGCUAGAGCAAUCAGACAAGAGAAAGAAAGAAAGGGCAUCAAAUUGGUAAGAAGCAGCCACUAGCUAGAGCAAUCAGACAAGAGAAAGAAAGAAAGGGCAUCAAAUUGGAAAGAAGCAGCCACUAGCUAGAGCAAUCAGACAAGAGAAAGAAAGAAAGGGCAUCAAAUUGGUAAGAAGCAGCCACUAGCUAGAGCAAUCAGACAAGAGAAAGAAAGAAAGGGCAUCAAAUUGGAAAGAAGCAGCCACUAGCUAGAGCAAUCAGACAAGAGAAAGAAAGAAAGGGCAUCAAAUUGGUAAGAAGCAGCCACUAGCUAGAGCAAUCAGACAAGAGAAAGAAAGAAAGGGCAUCAAAUUGGAAAGAAGCAGCCACUAGCUAGAGCAAUCAGACAAGAGAAAGAAAGAAAGGGCAUCAAAUUGGAAAGAAGCAGCCACUAGCUAGAGCAAUCAGACAAGAGAAAGAAAGAAAGGGCAUCAAAUUGGAAAGAAGCAGCCACUAGCUAGAGCAAUCAGACAAGAGAAAGAAAGAAAGGGCAUCAAAUUGGUAAGAAGCAGCCACUAGCUAGAGCAAUCAGACAAGAGAAAGAAAGAAAGGGCAUCAAAUUGGAAAGAAGCAGCCACUAGCUAGGGCAAUCAGAUAAGAGAAAGAAAGAAAGGGCAUCAAAUUGGUAAGAAGCAGCCACUAGCUAGAGCAAUCAGACAAGAGAAAGAAAGAAAGGGCAUCAAAUUGGAAAGAAGCAGCCACUAGCUAGAGCAAUCAGACAAGAGAAAGAAAGAAAGGGCAUCAAAUUGGUAAGAAGCAGCCACUAGCUAGAGCAAUCAGACAAGAGAAAGAAAGAAAGGGCAUCAAAUUGGAAAGAAGCAGCCACUAGCUAGAGCAAUCAGACAAGAGAAAGAAAGAAAGGGCAUCAAAUUGGUAAGAAGCAGCCACUAGCUAGAGCAAUCAGACAAGAGAAAGAAAGAAAGGGCAUCAAAUUGGAAAGAAGCAGCCACUAGCUAGAGCAAUCAGACAAGAGAAAGAAAGAAAGGGCAUCAAAUUGGAAAGAAGCAGCCACUAGCUAGAGCAAUCAGACAAGAGAAAGAAAGAAAGGGCAUCAAAUUGGAAAGAAGCAGCCACUAGCUAGAGCAAUCAGACAAGAGAAAGAAAGAAAGGGCAUCAAAUUGGUAAGAAGCAGCCACUAGCUAGAGCAAUCAGACAAGAGAAAGAAAGAAAGGGCAUCAAAUUGGAAAGAAGCAGCCACUAGCUAGAGCAAUCAGAUAAGAGAAAGAAAGAAAGGGCAUCAAAUUGGAAAGAAGCAGCCACUAGCUAGAGCAAUCAGACAAGAGAAAGAAAGAAAGGGCAUCAAAUUGGAAAGAAGCAGCCACUAGCUAGAGCAAUCAGACAAGAGAAAGAAAGAAAGGGCAUCAAAUUGGAAAGAAGCAGCCAAAUCACCCUUGUUUGCAGAUGAUUUUAUAUUUGGAGACACCCAAGGAUGCCAACAAAAACUGUUAGAACUGAUAAAUUCAGUAACGUUUUAGGAUCCAAAAUCAAUGUACAAAAAUCAGUAGCAUUUUUCUGUGCCAACAGUGAACAAUCUGAAAUGGAAAUCAGGAAAGUAAUCCCACUUACAGUAGCCACAGAUAAAAUAAGACACCUAGGAAUUAACCAAAUAAGUGAACGAUUUCUACAGUAAAAACCGUAAAACACCGUAAGCAAUUGAAGAGGAGACAAAAAUUGAAGUAUGUUCCAUGUUCACAGCUCGGAAGAGUCAAUAUAGUUAAAAUGUCCAUACUACCCAAAGCAAUCUGCAGAUUCAAUGCAAUCCCUACCAAAAUUCCAGUGACGUUCUUCACUGAAAUAGAAAAAAAAAAUCCAAAAUUUAUAUGGAAGCACAAAAGACUCUAGAUCCACACGUAUUCUAAGAACAAACUGGAGGAAUCACAUGACCUGACUUCAGAAUAUACUAAAGUAACCAAAACAGCAUGGUAGUGGCAUAAAAACAGACACACAAACCAAGCAGAAUAAAGAAUCCGGAAUUGAAUCCAUACUUCUGCAGCGAGCUCAUUUUUGACAAAUGUGCUGAAAAUGUUCAUUGAAGAAAGGGCGAUCUUUUCCAUAAAGGGUGCUUGGGAAACUAGACAUCCAUAUAGAGAAGAAUGAAACCAAACCCCUAUCUCUCUCCGUAUAUGGAAACAAAAUCAAAAUGGAUUAAAAACUUAAAUCUAAGACCUCGAACUGUGAAACUCCUACAAGAAAACUCUCUAGGAUACUGGACUGGGCAAAGAUUGCUUGAGUAAUACCCCAAAAACACAUGAAACCAAAGCAGGAAUAGACAAAUGGGAUCACAUCAAGUUACACAGCUUCUUCCCCAGAGCAAAGGAAACAAGCAGUGACGAGAGGAAACAGCCUACAGAGUGGAUUUUCAAACCACCCAUCUGACGAGGAAUAACCAGAAUAUGUAAGGAGCUUAAACAACUUCAUAGGAAAAAAAUCAAUAACCCAAUUAAAAAAUGGGCAAGAGAUCUGAAUAGACAUUUCUCGAAAGAAGACAUAUAAAUGGCAAACGGGUGUAUGAAAAGGUGCUCAGUAUCAGUGAUCCUCAGAGAAAUACACAUCAAAACUACGAUGAAAUAUAUCCAAAAGUCAGGCAGGAACAAACUCUGGCGGGGAUGUGGAGAAAAGGAAAUCCGUGUACACUGUUGGUGACGAUGUAAAUCAGCACAGUCAUUACGGAGAUCAAUAUGGAAGUCCCUCUAAAAACGAAAAGUAGUGCUACCAUGCGGUCCAACAGUCCUCUUCCUACUCAGUAUAUCAAAGAGGCGUCUGCACUCCCAUGUCUACUGCACUAUUCACAAUAGCCAAGACUUGGAAGCAACCUAAGUGUCCAUCAACAAACAAAUGGAUUUAAAAACGUGGUACAUACAUACCACGGAGUAGUAUCCAGCCACAAAAAGAACGAGAUCCAGUCAUUUGCAACAACGUGGAUGGAACCAGAGGUCAUUUUGCUAAGUGAAAUAAGCCAGGCACGGAAAGACAAACUUCGCAUGUUCUCACUUGCUUGUGGGAGCUAAAAAUUAAAACAAUUGAACUCACAGACAUAGAGAAUAGAAGGAUGGUGACCAGGGGCUGGGAAGGGUAGUGGCAGGUUGGGGUGGAAUGCAGGGAUGGCUAAUGUGCACACAGAGUAGUUGGGAAGGGUAAGUAAGACCCACUAUUUGAUAGCACAAUGGGGUGGCUGUAGUCAGAUUUGAUUCUAUGUUUUUAAAUAACUCAGAGUAUAACUGGACUAUUUGUAACACAAAGGAUAAAUGUUUGAGGUGAUGGAUACCCCAUUUACCCUCAUGUACUCCCUACAUAGAUAUACUUACUUUUUACCCAAAAAAAAUUUAAAAGUUCAAACUUAAAUAUAUGAGUAAUGUAAUAAAUGGGAUAUUCUGACCAUCUGCAUCAGUUAAGCCUCCUUUUUUUUGAAACACAGUCUCACACUGUCACCCAGGCUAUAGUGUAGUGGAGUAAUAUCAGCUCACUGCAAUAUCUGCCUCCUGGGUUCGAGCAAUUCUCCCACUUCAGCCUCCAGACUGGCUGGGACUACAGGCGUGCACCACCAUGCCCAGCUUUUUAAAAAUAUUUUUAGCAGAGACAGGGUUUUACCAGCUUGGCCAGGAUGGUCUCCUUCUCCUGACCUCGUGAUCCACCUGCCUCGGCUUCCCAAAGUGCUGAGAUUACAGGUGUGAGCUGCCGCACCCCGCCAGUUAAGCCUCUUAAUUAUAAACAGGAGAAACCUGCUCUUGAUGGCUUGAGGAGAAAGAGGAUUUAUUAAGGAAAAAAUAAUUAUAUUACACACUCUCCCUAAAGACAGAGAACCAGGCUUGGAAGCCAGGGAGGGAGCAACAUGCCCAAAUCAUACGAGCAGCCCACUCCUGGAGAGCCUGUGCUCCGGCUGCAAAAGAGGCUUGGGAAAAAGUUUCUGGUUCCUACUUUGGGGAGGUAGAAAAUUCCCAAACAAAAGAAGGGUGUUUAAAGGUGCUGCAUAGACAAGAAGAAUAUUGACUGUCCACUGCAGUCCACCCCUUGGCUGUUUAACGCCUAACUGCACUCUUCUUCCUCACUUCAACCCAUUUCCAUUCAGCACAACGCAGCGAUCCAGCACACAGACCAAAUAAAAUGCAGGAUAUUCUCCAAAGGGAGGCUGCGGAUCCAUAGAAGAAGGAGGUUCAGACUUCGUCUCGUCUUGAUGUGCUGGAACCUGUGGAGCACUGGCGUGGUAAGAUGGAAUAAGUGCUCCUCACCCAUCCUUUCUGUUGGUCAAGUUUACAGCAGCUGUUUGAGGACAGUGAAAACAGGAAGGCAUAUCGGUGAGGAACACAGAAUUCGAAGCACAUCAAAGCAGUCAGGACCUGGGCAAAGCCACACCUGCAGCGUCAGCAGUGACAGGACUGGCCGGAGCCCAGACUCAGGGCGGUAAACAUACUCUUUGUUCAGAAGAACUGUGACCACAUAGCGGGUUGGGCUUGAACUUCGUGACUCAAGCAAUCCUCCCACCUCAGUCUCCUGAGUAGCUGGGACCUUAGGCAUGGGCCAUUGUGCCCAGUUCAGAGAAGCCUUUUCAGAGGGGAUGGUCAGGAGCUCCUCUUUGAGCAGUUUCAGGACUAGCAAUAAUUCGAAGGAGCUGGAAAAAAAUAUUCACAGUCCCCGGAAAUCUAGCGACGCGAUGAGGAUUCUUUCCUUUGGCUCUUCAAACCGAAGUCAACAGAAAAAGGUGGGGGUGGGGGGGCGUGUUUUUUGUGGUUCUAUCUUAAAAGAAAGAAUAAACACACACUUUCUUCCAUCCUCCUUUCCUUUUACCUGGUUUGGCUGAGCCUGAGAGCAAAGGUUCCAUUUGGGUUCAUUCCUUUCUUUGUGGGGCAGACGUCCUACAGCCUAGUUUUGGUGACGCAAUCUUGGAAGAGUGAAUCCUGUCCACCCACUGGCUGCUGGCCAUGGGAAUGUUAGCA
Molecule: non-coding RNA, 4976 nt
Organism: Callithrix jacchus (white-tufted-ear marmoset)
Lineage: Eukaryota; Metazoa; Chordata; Mammalia; Primates; Cebidae
Source: RefSeq, a predicted model, not a curated record